This 429-nucleotide ribosomal RNA is filed under the name Acidobacteriota bacterium. RNAcentral's name for it is "Acidobacteria bacterium partial 16S ribosomal RNA". It matches the Rfam family "Bacterial small subunit ribosomal RNA", at positions 355 to 776 of the family's 1533-position model. Lineage: Bacteria; Pseudomonadati; Acidobacteriota. The record is from RNAcentral.
UGGGGAAUUUUGGACAAUGGGGGCAACCCUGAUCCAGCCAUCCCGCGUGUGCGAUGAAGGCCUUCGGGUUGUAAAGCACUUUUGGCAGGAAAGAAACGUCAUGGGUUAAUACCCCGUGAAACUGACGGUACCUGCAGAAUAAGCACCGGCUAACUACGUGCCAGCAGCCGCGGUAAUACGUAGGGUGCAAGCGUUAAUCGGAAUUACUGGGCGUAAAGCAUGCGCAGGCGGUUCGGAAAGAAAGAUGUGAAAUCCCAGAGCUCAACUUUGGAACUGCAUUUUUAACUACCGGGCUAGAGUGUGUCAGAGGGAGGUGGAAUUCCGCGUGUAGCAGUGAAAUGCGUAGAUAUGCGGAGGAACACCGAUGGCGAAGGCAGCCUCCUGGGAUAACACUGACGCUCAUGCACGAAAGCGUGGGGAGCAAACAGG